CUUCCCUGUAUUUGUUCUCAUGUGUCUCAGUAAAUAGCGACGGCAAAUAAACCCUUUACCACAUACAUCACAGUCAUGAAGUGUUUCAUCUGUAUGUGUUCUCUUAUGAACCUGUAAAUUACUACGCUGACUAAACCCUUUACCACAUACUUCACAGUUAUGAGGUUUAUCACCUGUAUGUAUUCUCGUGUGUAUUUGUAAACCACCAUGUUGACUAAACCGUUU
This 225-nucleotide long non-coding RNA is filed under the name Mytilus galloprovincialis (Mediterranean mussel). The record is from RNAcentral. Lineage: Eukaryota; Metazoa; Mollusca; Bivalvia; Mytilida; Mytilidae.